RNAcentral lists this ribosomal RNA (410 nucleotides) under uncultured microorganism. RNAcentral describes it as "bacterial SSU rRNA". It matches the Rfam family "Archaeal small subunit ribosomal RNA", at positions 330 to 745 of the family's 1478-position model. The record is from RNAcentral.
GCGCAGCAGUCGCGAAAACUUUACAAUGUGCGAAAGCACGAUAAGGGAACUCUGAGUGCCUCCUAAGGAGGCUGUUCAGGUGUCCAAAAAGCACCUGAAGGAAGGGCUGGGUAAGACCGGUGCCAGCCGCCGCGGUAACACCGGCAGCCCAAGUGGUAGCCACGUUUAUUGGGUCUAAAGCGUCCGUAGCCGGCUGGGUAAGUUCCUUGGGAAAUUUGGCUGCUUAACAGUCAAGCUUUCAGGGAAUACUGCCCGGCUUGGGACCGGGAGAGGUCAGAGGUACUCCAGGGGUAGGGGUGAAAUCCAUUAAUCCCUGGGGGACCACCGGUAGCGAAGGCGUCUGACCAGACCGGGUCCGACGGUGAGGGACGAAGGCUAGGGGCGCGAACCGGAUUAGAUACCCCGGUAGU